Molecule: transfer RNA, 73 nt
Filed under: Spirochaetaceae bacterium 4572_7
Lineage: Bacteria; Pseudomonadati; Spirochaetota; Spirochaetia; Spirochaetales; Spirochaetaceae
Description: tRNA-Val
Rfam family: tRNA
About the family: Transfer RNA (tRNA) molecules are approximately 80 nucleotides in length. Their secondary structure includes four short double-helical elements and three loops (D, anti-codon, and T loops).
Source: RNAcentral
GGGCGAAUAGCUCAGUUGGGAGAGCGCCUGCCUUACAAGCAGGAUGUCGGGGGUUCAAGUCCCUCUUCGCUCA